GAUCCUGGCUCAGGAUGAACGCUAGCGACAGGCUUAACACAUGCAAGUCGAGGGGCAGCAUGAUUUGUAGCAAUACAGAUUGAUGGCGACCGGCGCACGGGUGAGUAACGCGUAUGCAACUUACCUAUCAGAGGGGGAUAGCCCGGCGAAAUCCGGACUAAUACCCCAUGAUAUGGGCUCUCCGCAUGGGGGGGUCCAUUAAAGAGAGCAAUCUUGGUUACAGACGAGCAUGCGCUCCAUUAGCCAGUUGGCGGGGUAACGGCCCACCAAGGCGACGAUGGAUAGGGGUUCUGAGAGGAAGGUCCCCCACAUUGGGACUGAGACACGGCCCAGACUCCUACGGGAGGCAGCAGUGGGGAAUAUUGCACAAUGGGGGAAACCCUGAUGCAGCGACGCCGCGUGGAGGAAGAAGGUCUUCGGAUUGUAAACUCCUGUUGUUGAGGAAGAUAAUGACGGUACUCAACAAGGAAGUGACGGCUAACUACGUG
Molecule: ribosomal RNA, 488 nt
Filed under: uncultured bacterium
Lineage: Bacteria
Description: bacterial SSU rRNA
Rfam family: Bacterial small subunit ribosomal RNA
Source: RNAcentral